CCUACGGGAGGCUGCAGUGGGGGAUAUUGCACAAUGGAGGAAACUCUGAUGCAGCGACGCCGCGUGGAGGAUGACGGUCUUCGGAUUGUAAACUUCUGUCUUUGGAGAAGAAAAUGACGGUACCUAACGAGUAAGCUCCGGCUAACUACGUGCCAGCAGCCGCGGUAAUACGUAGGGAGCGAGCGUUGUCCGGAAUUACUGGGGGAAAAGGGGGCGUAGGCGGGCGAGAAAGUUGAAGGUUAAAUCUACGGGCUAAACUGGGAACUGCAUUCUAAACUUUUUGUCUUGAGUGAAGGAGAGGCAGGCGGAAUUCCUGGUGUAGGGGUGAAAUGCGUAGAUAUUAGGAGGAACACUAGUGGCGAAGGCGACCUGCUGGGCUAUAACUGACGCUGAGGCGCGAAAGCGUGGGGAGCAAACAGGAUUAGAUACCCGAGUAGUC
This 439-nucleotide ribosomal RNA is filed under the name uncultured bacterium. RNAcentral describes it as "partial 16S ribosomal RNA". It matches the Rfam family "Bacterial small subunit ribosomal RNA", at positions 338 to 795 of the family's 1533-position model. The record is from RNAcentral.